RNAcentral lists this unclassified non-coding RNA (923 nucleotides) under Hevea brasiliensis (rubber tree). The record is from RNAcentral. Lineage: Eukaryota; Viridiplantae; Streptophyta; Magnoliopsida; Malpighiales; Euphorbiaceae.
GCGCAUGGAGGGUUUGGGAAACAAGGCAAUGGAUAGUUACCUUAAAGGUAUUGGAUUUCACGGUGGCAAGGCAAAGGCCUUGUAUAGCAGAGACGGUCAUCUAGGUGUUACCCUGGUUAAGUUUGCAAGUGACCAAUCAGGUUUGACGGAAGCCAUGCGGUUAGCUGAAUAUUUUGAGAAAGAUAAUCAUGGGAGAAAUGGUUGGGCUCGACUGCAGCCCUUGACUCUAGGCAAGGAUGAUGAGAACAAUCCUGACCUUUGCAAGUAUGAUCAUCGGACUGGAGAGAAGAAGAGGGUCUUCUAUGGUUACCUGGGCACUGUUAACGACUUAGAGAAGGUUGAUUUCGACUUCCGAAAGAAGAUAACCAUCGCUAGCCGAUCGGAUUACAAGCCAUCUGGUUAGAACCAGGUCAAUAGAUUUGUGUUUGAGAUAUGCUUAAGUUGAGAGUAUUACUCAAUUCUCUAUUCUAGAUAUUGUCGUUUCGUGUUACUUGUGUUGCCCUUAGGAAUCCGAGAGUUGGGGCUCUCUGGUACAACGGUAGGACUAAGAUAUUAAUGCCAUGCAUGUCUCUUCCCUUCUCUUGUAGUGAAACAUCUCUGGCACAAGAUUAGUGGUUUUGAAGUCCAAUGGACUUGCUGUUUGUUCUCGUCCUUCCUCUAUUUGAGGCUGGGUGUACCAAUGAUCAUGGUUCAUAAAUUUGUCUCAAGGUUUAAUGUAGGGUUCCCCUGCAGGUAUUAGUACAAAACUAUGCCUCAAAACUUUGACCUGAAAACGAGGAAUUCGUUAUUGCAGGUUAAUAUCUUAAGCACUACUAGUCUCACUAGAUUGCAAUCAGAAGCAUAAAGUUCUGGUGCAAGUUUAGCUAAAGCAGUAUUAUCUUGCUCUGCUUUAAGAUUGUUUUAUUUUACUGGGUAAAUUUGAG